AUAUACGACCGUACCGCAAACCGACACUGGUGCGCGAGAUGAGUAUUCUAAGGCGCUUGAGAGAACUCAGGAGAAGGAACUCGGCAAAUUGACACCGUAACUUCGGAAGAAGGUGUGCCCUAUUAGUGUGUAGUGAACAACGAAGCAUGAAUGGGUUGCAAAAAAUCGGUGGCUGCGACUGUUUAUUAAAAACACAGCACUCUGCAAACACGAAAGUGGACGUAUAGGGUGUGACGCCUGCCCGGUGCUGGAAGAUUAAAUGAUGGGGUGCAAGCUCUUGAUUGAAGUCCCAGUAAACGGCGGCCGUAACAAUAACGGUCCUAAGGUAGCGAAAUUCCUUGUCGGGUAAGUUCCGACCUGCACGAAUGGCGUAACGAUGGCCACACUGUCUCCUCCUGAGACUCAGCGAAGUUGAAAUGUUUGUGAUGAUGCAAUCUCCCCGCGGAAAGACGGAAAGACCCAUGAACCUUUACUGUAGCUUUGUAUUGGACUUUGAACAGAUCUGUGUAGGAUAGGUGGGAGGCUUUGAAGCAGGAUCGCUAGAUCUUGUGGAGCCAACGUUGAAAUACCACCCUGGUGUGUUUGAGGUUCUAACCUAGGUCCAUUAUCUGGAUCGGGGACAGUGCAUGGUAGGCAGUUUGACUGGGGCGGUCUCCUCCCAAAGCGUAACGGAGGAGUUCGAAGGUACGCUAGUUACGGUCGGACAUCGUGACGAUAGUGCAAUGGCAUAAGCGUGCUUAACUGCGAGACUGACAAGUCGAGCAGAUGCGAAAGCAGGACAUAGUGAUCCGGUGGUUCUGUAUGGAAGGGCCAUCGCUCAACGGAUAAAAGGUACUCUGGGGAUAACAGGCUGAUACCGCCCAAGAGUUCAUAUCGACGGCGGUGUUUGGCACCUCGAUGUCGGCUCAUCUCAUCCUGGGGCUGUAGCCGGUCCCAAGGGUAUGGCUGUUCGCCAUUUAAAGAGGUACGUGAGCUGGGUUUAAAACGUCGUGAGACAGUUUGGUCCCUAUCUUCCGUGGGCGCUGCAGAUUUGAGGAAGCCUGCUCCUAGUACGAGAGGACCGGAGUGGACACACCUCUGGUGUAUCGGUUGUCACGCCAGUGGCAUUGCCGAGUAGCUAAGUGUGGAAGAGAUAACCGCUGAAAGCAUCUAAGCGGGAAACUCGUUUCAAGAUGAGAUCUGCCGGGGCCUUGAGCCCCCUAAAGAGUCGUUCAAGACCAGGACGUUGAUAGGUCAGGUGUGGAAGC
This 1247-nucleotide ribosomal RNA is filed under the name metagenome. Its description in RNAcentral is "bacterial LSU rRNA". It matches the Rfam family "Bacterial large subunit ribosomal RNA", at positions 1634 to 2874 of the family's 2925-position model. The record is from RNAcentral.